GACGAACUCUGGCGGCGCGCUUAACACAUGCAAGUCGAACGGAAAGGCCUGCUUUCCCUUGUGGAUUGCGGGUACUCGAGUGGCGAACGGGUGAGUAACACGUGAGUGAUCUGCCCCCAACUUGGGUAUAAGCCUGGGAAACUGGGUCUAAUUCCCGAUAGGACUGCAGGGUGGUGCCUGUGGUGGAAAACGAUUUUCUAGUGGUUGGGGAUGAGCUCGCGGCCUAUCAGCUUGUUGGUGGGGUAAUGGCCUACCAAGGCGGCGACGGGUAGCCGGCCUGAGAGGGUGGACGGCCACAUUGGGACUGAGAUACGGCCCAGACUCCUACGGGAGGCAGCAGUGGGGAAUAUUGCACAAUGGGCGGAAGCCUGAUGCAGCGACGCCGCGUGGGGGAUGACGGCCUUCGGGUUGUAAACUCCUUUCGACCGCGAGGAAGCCACCUGGUUGGAAGGGUGGUGACGGUAGUGGUAGAAGAAGCACCGGCUAACUACGUG
Molecule: ribosomal RNA, 494 nt
Filed under: uncultured bacterium
Lineage: Bacteria
Description: partial 16S ribosomal RNA
Rfam family: Bacterial small subunit ribosomal RNA
Source: RNAcentral